RNAcentral lists this long non-coding RNA (309 nucleotides) under Elaeis guineensis (African oil palm). RNAcentral's name for it is "long non-coding RNA (EGUI_LNC037049)". The record is from RNAcentral. Lineage: Eukaryota; Viridiplantae; Streptophyta; Magnoliopsida; Arecales; Arecaceae.
CUUGCUGAGGAUAACUUCAACUAUUUGCUUUUAAAAGUAAUAUAAGUCAUUGCAACAGAGGUGUUAAAGGUUAAAAUAUCAAUUAUGGGAUGGGACUCUCCUAAAUCAUACAUAUUGAUCAUAGGAUGCAACUCUCGUGAGUACCUUUUUGUUCUCCCCACCUCCUGCCCAAAAAAUAAAGGAAUAUAUAUUGAAUUCUCUUAGUAAAUUUUACAAGCCAACGAUAGCUCACCUUGUACUUUUUUAAAUAACUUGGCCAUCAAAAUUAAAAUCUUUUUUUAACUAUCCCACCUAGUUAUGUACUCCACU